UAACGUAAACAAACCCUUCGAGCUCCAAGAAGGCCUCGUGUUGUGGCACCGUAAACACGUGCGAGAGGAGAAGGGAGUGGAUAUUUAUUAUAGGAAAUAAUAAAAAUAAUUCAAAAUGGUGGCCAAAAGGAGAAAGUCGAAGAAGGUGACCCUCAAGAAGAAAUACAUGAUUGAGAAGAAGGUGCGAGCUCAUAAGAAGAAGCAGAAGAAGCUGCAGAGGAAACAGCCGGAGCUCUUCAAAA
This is a non-coding RNA of Penaeus vannamei (Pacific white shrimp), 242 nucleotides long. Lineage: Eukaryota; Metazoa; Arthropoda; Malacostraca; Decapoda; Penaeidae. The record is from RefSeq and is a predicted model, not a curated record.